Molecule: long non-coding RNA, 222 nt
Organism: Cervus elaphus (red deer)
Lineage: Eukaryota; Metazoa; Chordata; Mammalia; Artiodactyla; Cervidae
Exons: 3
Source: RefSeq, a predicted model, not a curated record
UGCUGCUGCUGCAGCUGUUUUGUGUCCGACUCUUCACAAUCCCAUGGACUGCAGCAUUCCAGGCCUCCCUGUCCCUCACCAUCUGCUGAAGUUUGCCUAAGUUUAUGGCCAUUGCAUUGGUGAUGCCAUCUAGCCAUCUCAUCCUCUGUCGUCCCCUUCUCCUCCUGCCCUCAAUCUUUCCCAGUAUCAGGGUCUUUUCCAACGAGUCAGCUGUUCGUGUCA